Molecule: RNA transcript, 1080 nt
Organism: Zeugodacus cucurbitae (melon fly)
Lineage: Eukaryota; Metazoa; Arthropoda; Insecta; Diptera; Tephritidae
Exons: 2
Source: RefSeq, a predicted model, not a curated record
CAAUUGUUUUUAUAACAGUAAAAAAUAAAACUGUAUUUUUCGUCAUACCAAAAACUUAUUUUCUUUAUUCACACUUUUCAUAUUCCCAAUUGUAUUCUUCUUUAAAAGCCUCUUCACACUGUAUUUUAAUUUUCCCUUCUUUGUUGCCAUAAAAAUAGCAACACAAAUUGAUGCGAACGGCGUAUCUUUCGCGUUCUGUGGUGGCGUGUGGUCCGCCUCUUUAGAGCGUUUAUUUCAUGUCGUCGAACGUUUUCGACAUUGAGGCGUUGGCGGUUGUUCGCGGAUUGCUCAUCAGUGCUUGUUGCCAUUAUUGUUUUGCGGCAAAUGCGGGCGCACUUUUUUAAUUGAUGUAUUGAGCCCUGUAUCAACAUGAGAAAGUGUGUGUGUGUGUGUGUGGGAAAGUGACUGACAGCGGAGCUGAGUGAUCAAAAAUUCGAGUAGCUGCGGUACGUCAACAAAAUACAAGUGGUUGCGGCCACUCGCUUGCGCUCAGCGAAUCUAGCGGCUCUAUUUGGAUUCAGUAUACAACGAAGCGUGCUCGCAGCUGCAAGUAUUUACAUACAAGCGUGUUUUUUUUUCGUCAAAGUUUUCGAAUUUUGCGGGAAUAUAGUAAAUCCGCCAUACAAUUAUGGUCCAGCCGCAACAAAAGCUACCCAUCGUUCCGCAGCCAACUUACUUUGCUGUAGGUCCCCAACCACAUGAGGUCACCUGCCCUUACUGUAAGGCAACGGCUAAGACCGUAAUGCAGCGUCCGAUACUGCGCUGCUUCAGCCGCCGUCAUUAUUGCUCCGAGUGUGGUGAAUACUUGGGCACCUAUCGGCGGCCGCAACUAUGAGUUGAGUAGGUUUCUCGCCAGCCACCGAUUGGAUUGUAAACAAACUAUAUAUUUAUGUGUGUAAUUUUUUAUAUUUAUUCAUGUGUUUGUAUACUUUCAAGUUUUCCUCAAUAUUUAGCACAAUUUUCUGGCUAUAAAUUCUAAUCAAAAUAAUAAUAAUGAAACCUUAUUUUAAUUGUACUCUGGCAUAUAAGUAUAUGUAUAUAGAACUCUCGUAAAUAAAUGAAAUGUAAACAAAAACCGCA